AUCGAGAUAAAGAGCUGAAAACCCAGCCAAAUAAUUCAUCUUUUCAAAUAAGGGAUAGAACCAAGCAAAGAGAUAAAAAGCUGAAGACCCGAUGAGCCAAACGACUCAUCUUCUCAAAUGAGAGUAACCAGGCACCAGCAUAAAAAGUUGAAAAACUGAAGAGCCAAAUGACCAAUAUUUUCAGACAAGAUAACCCGAUACUGGGAUAAAAAGCU
This 215-nucleotide long non-coding RNA is filed under the name Elaeis guineensis (African oil palm). RNAcentral's name for it is "long non-coding RNA (EGUI_LNC025576)". The record is from RNAcentral. Lineage: Eukaryota; Viridiplantae; Streptophyta; Magnoliopsida; Arecales; Arecaceae.